Molecule: ribosomal RNA, 743 nt
Filed under: Bacillus sp. (in: firmicutes)
Lineage: Bacteria; Bacillati; Bacillota; Bacilli; Caryophanales; Bacillaceae
Description: bacterial SSU rRNA
Rfam family: Bacterial small subunit ribosomal RNA
Source: RNAcentral
CUAUCAUGCAGUCGAGCGAAUGGAUUGAGAGCUUGCUCUCAAGAAGUUAGCGGCGGACGGGUGAGUAACACGUGGGUAACCUGCCCAUAAGACUGGGAUAACUCCGGGAAACCGGGGCUAAUACCGGAUAACAUUUUGAACCGCAUGGUUCGAAAUUGAAAGGCGGCUUCGGCUGUCACUUAUGGAUGGACCCGCGUCGCAUUAGCUAGUUGGUGAGGUAACGGCUCACCAAGGCAACGAUGCGUAGCCGACCUGAGAGGGUGAUCGGCCACACUGGGACUGAGACACGGCCCAGACUCCUACGGGAGGCAGCAGUAGGGAAUCUUCCGCAAUGGACGAAAGUCUGACGGAGCAACGCCGCGUGAGUGAUGAAGGCUUUCGGGUCGUAAAACUCUGUUGUUAGGGAAGAACAAGUGCUAGUUGAAUAAGCUGGCACCUUGACGGUACCUAACCAGAAAGCCACGGCUAACUACGUGCCAGCAGCCGCGGUAAUACGUAGGUGGCAAGCGUUAUCCGGAAUUAUUGGGCGUAAAGCGCGCGCAGGUGGUUUCUUAAGUCUGAUGUGAAAGCCCACGGCUCAACCGUGGAGGGUCAUUGGAAACUGGGAGACUUGAGUGCAGAAGAGGAAAAGUGGAAUUCCAUGUGUAGCGGUGAAAUGCGUAGAGAUAUGGAGGAACACCAGUGGCGAAGGCGACUUUCUGGUCUGUAACUGACACUGAGGCGCGAAAGCGUGGGGAGCAAAC